GAUGGUGACUUAAACCCUCACCAGAAGUACCAAUUGGAGGGCAAGUCUGGUGCCAGCAGCCGCGGUAAUUCCAGCUCCAAUAGCGUAUAUUAAACUUGUUGCAGUUAAAAAGCUCGUAGUUGAAUUUCAGCGUUUCGCGUGUGCCUCUUUUGGCCCAUCUCGUCUCGCUUUUUUUAUUACUUUGAGAAAAUUAGAGUGUUUCAAGCAGGCUUUUGUCUUGAAUACUUGAGCAUGGAAUAAUAGAGUAGGACCUUGGUUCUAUUUUGUUGGUUUUGUUACCUUGGUAAUGGUUAAUAGGAACGGUUGGGGGCAUUCGUAUUUAACUGUCAGAGGUGAAAUUCUUAG
RNAcentral lists this ribosomal RNA (345 nucleotides) under Babesia sp. cattle/Sivas. RNAcentral describes it as "SSU rRNA". It matches the Rfam family "Eukaryotic small subunit ribosomal RNA", at positions 516 to 923 of the family's 1831-position model. The record is from RNAcentral. Lineage: Eukaryota; Apicomplexa; Aconoidasida; Piroplasmida; Babesiidae.